UACCAAACUAUAUGUUAACACAACAAUCUGACACGAAUGAGAAGAUGAGAACCGUGCCUAUUGACUAGCACAUUGAGGUAUUGGUGUUCUUUUGGUCCAGACUCCAGAUCAUCAUAGAAAAGAAUGGCAGUUGCAGCAAAUGAUUCGAUUUGGAACAAAUAAUCUAAAGACUCAUGAGCUAACACACACGAGCAAGAAAGUGAAAAGAAAAGCAACUGGAUUCCUACUAGAGGUAUUGCAUAUCUUCAGUUUUUGCAUGCCCCUCCACACCGUGUGGUCUUAAUCCUAGGAAGAAAUGUAGUAUAUAUCUUGCUGAAAAAAGGUUAUUCAACAAGGAUUUGAAAUUAUUUCACUCAUUGGGUAACCAAGAUAUUGAUCUUAUCUUGCAUUUUCAAGAGCUACCUCAAAUUUUGGUUAGCAAACCACAAGACAUUAUGUGUA
Long non-coding RNA from Helianthus annuus (common sunflower), 441 nucleotides. RefSeq lists it as uncharacterized. The transcript has 4 exons. NCBI's taxonomy places the organism in Eukaryota, Viridiplantae, Streptophyta, Magnoliopsida, Asterales, Asteraceae. The record is from RefSeq and is a predicted model, not a curated record.